This 660-nucleotide ribosomal RNA is filed under the name Roseovarius sp. RNAcentral's name for it is "bacterial SSU rRNA". It matches the Rfam family "Bacterial small subunit ribosomal RNA", at positions 35 to 743 of the family's 1533-position model. The record is from RNAcentral. Lineage: Bacteria; Pseudomonadati; Pseudomonadota; Alphaproteobacteria; Rhodobacterales; Roseobacteraceae.
GCCAAGGGGCGCAGCUACACAUGCAAGUCGAGCGAACCUUCGGGUUAGCGGCGGACGGGUGAGUAACGCGUGGGAACGUACCCUCUUCUGCGGGAUAGCCACUGGAAACGGUGAGUAAUACCGCAUACGCCCUUCGGGGGAAAGAUUUAUCGGAGGAGGAUCGGCCCGCGUUGGAUUAGGUAGUUGGUGGGGUAAUGGCCUACCAAGCCUACGAUCCAUAGCUGGUUUUAGAGGAUGAUCAGCCACACUGGGACUGAGACACGGCCCAGACUCCUACGGGAGGCAGCAGUGGGGAAUCUUAGACAAUGGGCGCAAGCCUGAUCUAGCCAUGCCGCGUGAGUGACGAAGGCCUUAGGGUCGUAAAGCUCUUUCGCCAGAGAUGAUAAUGACAGUAUCUGGUAAAGAAACCCCGGCUAACUCCGUGCCAGCAGCCGCGGUAAUACGGAGGGGGUUAGCGUUGUUCGGAAUUACUGGGCGUAAAGCGCACGUAGGCGGAUUGGAAAGUUGGGGGUGAAAUCCCAGGGCUCAACCCUGGAACUGCCUCCAAAACUCCCAGUCUGGAGUUCGAGAGAGGUGAGUGGAAUUCCGAGUGUAGAGGUGAAAUUCGUAGAUAUUCGGAGGAACACCAGUGGCGAAGGCGGCUCACUGGCUCGAUACUGA